AUCAUCUCCAUGCAUCAUUUAACAUCAUACCAUAUUUCAUUUAGAGAAAAUGAGAUUCUCAUCCUUAAUCUCUUCAUAUGCAGGUCCAACAGAAAAUAAAGGAAAACUGAAACAGAGAUAAGUACAACAAAUGGGAUUGAUGCGUUGGAUUUAGAAAUUGCUCAUUCUUAUUGGUUAGAGCAUCUUAUCUAAAAGCUCGAGUUAUGAUUGAAAAACUCUAUAUGUUACAUUAAUCCACAUCAUAUUUCAUACACAAUUGACUUAAAUUCAUGCUCUCAAUAACCAAAGAACCAUUGCUAUGAUACUGCAGAAUCAUUAUUUUUAAACGUGUGAACACUGAACACAUGAAAUACAUGAAUAGGCCAAAUUUCAUCAGCGUUUCAUACAUUAUAAUUUGCUAACCAUGAGUGAAAUGAGAGAAGGAUGUUAUUGCAUGACAAUAUUAGGCAAAUCAAGUUACCCACCAAUUAUGAUUAAAAAUAUAUUCUUACUAGUGUUCAAGGCUGGGACUGCCAACCCACACCGAAGCUUGACCCAGAAACAAGGAAGAUAGCCGCAAUAAAAUAACCCAAACAUAGUACUACUAAGCUGAGCAAAGCGAGGAUUCCCUCUUUG
This 615-nucleotide unclassified non-coding RNA is filed under the name Hevea brasiliensis (rubber tree). The record is from RNAcentral. Lineage: Eukaryota; Viridiplantae; Streptophyta; Magnoliopsida; Malpighiales; Euphorbiaceae.